Non-coding RNA from Myotis brandtii (Brandt's bat), 77 nucleotides. The record is from Rfam. Lineage: Eukaryota; Metazoa; Chordata; Mammalia; Chiroptera; Vespertilionidae.
CUUGGGAUUGGGGGGGGGACCCUCAGCCCGGAUUGCAAGAGGGCGCAGGCCAGGCCGAGGGACCCCACCAGUGCACG